This 253-nucleotide ribosomal RNA is filed under the name uncultured bacterium. RNAcentral describes it as "partial 16S ribosomal RNA". It matches the Rfam family "Bacterial small subunit ribosomal RNA", at positions 524 to 776 of the family's 1533-position model. The record is from RNAcentral.
UACGUAGGGACCAAGCGUUGUUCGGAUUUACUGGGCGUAAAGGGCUCGUAGGUGGCCAAUUAAGUCAGGCGUGAAAUCCCCAGGCUCAACUUGGGAACUGCGUCUGAUACUGGUUGGCUUGAAUUCGGGAGAGGGAUGCAGAAUUCCAGGUGUAGCGGUGAAAUGCGUAGAUAUCUGGAGGAAUACCGGUGGCGAAGGCGGCAUCCUGGACCGAGAUUGACACUGAUGAGCGAAAGCCAGGGGAGCAAACGGG